This is a long non-coding RNA of Bos taurus (domestic cattle), 1154 nucleotides long. The record is from Ensembl. Lineage: Eukaryota; Metazoa; Chordata; Mammalia; Artiodactyla; Bovidae.
CUUAAAAACAAAACCAAAAAAAUAAAUAAAAGAGGGAAGAAGGGAGGGAAAACGAGGAAAAGACAAAAAAGAAAGAAAGAAAAAAGGAAGAGAGAGAGGGGAUAGAGAGAAGCGUGCGGAGGAUAAAAAGGAUGCGCAACGCUGCAGCUAGCUUGAGUCAGAUCUCAGGAAAGCAAGGACGCUUAACAGUACUUGCAAGUCCAAGAGCUAAUCAAGACUUCUUUUUUGUGUGUCACUUCUCCCUAACUUAACGCAGCAGCAGACUGCUUUCUCGGUGUUGUUCUCUGUGGCUGCAGUACGGAAAGCGGCCGUUGCCGACGGACCGGGGCUCAGGAAGGCUGUAGCGAGGGAGGUCUGCCUUUCCAUCCCCGUCCGGUGGGGCUCGGCUCCCGCGAAGACCCGGGGAAGGUGGAGUCCGGCUGUUUGCUGGCUUUAAAAGGCAGCUGCGUUUCCAGGUGGCAAAUGGGCCACAGAGCCCAGAGCUGAAGGCAGACACCAGAGGAGGCGCUGCCUUGCUGGGGGAAGCUGACUUUGGACCCUGCAGACCAAAUUUCUUGAUGGACAGACUCCAAGUCAAACGACUGGAGUUUUUCGAUGAAGAGAGGCUCUUAAAGCAGUCCUGCGCCUAAAGAUACAGUGAUGCCCCUGUGCACCCAGGGAGCUGUGCCGCUGGUCAACUUCUCCAUCACCUCUAAGCUGAUGAAAGAUGCCUGUACAAGAACAUCAGAAGUACGUCCCCUGUUGCCUCAAGUCCCCAGCUUAAGGAGGCAUUCUUCAGCCUCCCCAUCGCCUGAAGCCGACGGUCAGGCCAAGCAGGAUCACUGUGGGGCCUCCCAGCACCUACACCCAGAGAUCCUCCCUGCCCUUUGCCAGAAAAACAGCAGUUGGGACCUCCCUGGUGAUCUGGUGGUUAAGACUUCCCGCUUCAACUGUAGGGGGCGAGGGUUCAAUCCUGGUCCCUGGUCUGGGAACUAAGAUUCCAUGCUACAUGUUACAGCCAGAAAAAAAAAAAAAGAAGAAAAACAAGAAGGUGGGGAAAACUUCCCGGGAGGUUUUGUUCUUUAUAUAUAUAUAUAUUUUUUUUUUUUAUUUUAUGUAUUUAUUUAUUUGUGUCAGGUCUUGUAGUUGUGGCACACAGGCUUCGUUGCCCGGCA